Molecule: ribosomal RNA, 47 nt
Filed under: Symbiodinium sp. Amami I
Lineage: Eukaryota; Dinophyceae; Suessiales; Symbiodiniaceae
Also listed under: 1 other name
Description: partial 28S ribosomal RNA
Source: RNAcentral
GCAGGUGCAUGCCGCUAGCAUGAAGUCAGACAAGUGAACCCGCUGAA